GACGAACGCUGGCGGCGUGCUUAACACAUGCAAGUCGAACGGAAAGGCCCUGCUCUUGCUGCGUGCUCGAGUGGCGAACGGGUGUGUAACACGUGAGUAACCUGCCCUUGACUUUGGGAUAACUUCAGGAAACUGGGGCUAAUACCGGAUAGGAGCUACUGCUGCACGGUGGUGGUUGGUAAGUUUCGGCGGUUCGGGCUGGACUCGCUGCUUAUCCGCUUGUUGGUGAGGUAGUGGCUUACCAAGGGUUCGACGGGUAGCCGGCCUGGGAGGUUGGCCGGCGACAUUGGGCCUGAGAGAGGGACCAGACUCCUACGGGAGGCAGCAGUGGGGAAUAUUGCAGAAUGGGCGGAAGCCUGAUGCAGCAACGCCGCGUGCGGGAUGACGGCCUUCGGGUUGUAAACCGCUUUCGCCUGAGACGAAGCGUGAGUGACGGUAAUGGGUAAGGAAGCACCGGCUAACUACGUG
RNAcentral lists this ribosomal RNA (468 nucleotides) under uncultured bacterium. RNAcentral describes it as "partial 16S ribosomal RNA". It matches the Rfam family "Bacterial small subunit ribosomal RNA", at positions 28 to 507 of the family's 1533-position model. The record is from RNAcentral.